CGCGUAGGCGGCUAGAAAAGUCGGAUGUGAAAUUCCGGGGCUCAACCCCGGAGCUGCAUUUGAAACUCUCUAGCUAGAGUACAGUUAGGGUAAACGGAAUUCCACGUGUAGCGGUGAAAUGCGUAGAUAUGUGGAAGAACACCGGUGGUGAAGACGGUUUACUGGGCUGUAACUGACGCUGAGGCGCGAAAGCAUGGGGAAGCAAACA
Molecule: ribosomal RNA, 208 nt
Filed under: uncultured bacterium
Lineage: Bacteria
Description: partial 16S ribosomal RNA
Rfam family: Bacterial small subunit ribosomal RNA
Source: RNAcentral